This 115-nucleotide ribosomal RNA is filed under the name uncultured Glomus. RNAcentral describes it as "partial 5.8S ribosomal RNA". It matches the Rfam family "5.8S ribosomal RNA", at positions 1 to 120 of the family's 154-position model. From Rfam's summary of the family: 5.8S ribosomal RNA (5.8S rRNA) is a component of the large subunit of the eukaryotic ribosome. Lineage: Eukaryota; Fungi; Glomeromycota; Glomeromycetes; Glomerales; Glomeraceae. The record is from RNAcentral.
UCACUUUCAACAACGGAAUCUCUUGGCUCUCGCAUCGAUGAAGAACGUACGAAGUGCGAUAAGUAUGUGAAUUGCAAAAUUCCGUGAUCAUCGAAUCUUGACGCAAUGCAUCUGG